UCAUCCAAACUGAUGGAUGAAAGAAAAAUCACUUUGCCGGGAGAUAUGGAUGGACCGAUUUGAGGAGAACCAGCUGAGCAGAGCGAUCCACAUAGAAUUCAUCUGUCAACCGUUUGAAGAAGUCGCUGCCUGAUGCUGCUGGAAGUGGACUUGAUAUGAUUUGAAUUACCUGGCCAGAAAACCAAAACAAGGAGCUAAAAGAGGCAACAACGAAAGAAAAUAAGUCUGUAGAGCUGUACAGUUGGUCAGUGUAUGCGAUCC
Seriola aureovittata is the source of this 261-nucleotide long non-coding RNA. RefSeq lists it as uncharacterized. The record is from RefSeq and is a predicted model, not a curated record. The transcript is spliced from 3 exons. NCBI's taxonomy places the organism in Eukaryota, Metazoa, Chordata, Actinopteri, Carangiformes, Carangidae.